This 464-nucleotide ribosomal RNA is filed under the name uncultured bacterium. RNAcentral describes it as "partial 16S ribosomal RNA". It matches the Rfam family "Bacterial small subunit ribosomal RNA", at positions 29 to 507 of the family's 1533-position model. The record is from RNAcentral.
ACGCACGCUGGCGGCGUGCUUAACACAUGCAAGUCGAACGGAAAGGCCCCUUUGGGGGUACUCGAGUGGCGAACGGGUGAGUAACACGUGAGUAACCUGCCCUUGACUUCGGGAUAACUUCAGGAAACUGGGGCUAAUACCGGAUAGGAAUCCUUGCUGCAUGGUGGGGGUUGGAAAGCUUCGGCGGUUUUGGAUGGACUCGCGGCUUAUCAGCUUGUUGGUGGGGUAGUGGCUUACCAAGGCUUUGACGGGUAGCCGGCCUGAGAGGGCGACCGGCCACAUUGGGACUGAGAGACGGCCCAGACUCCUACGGGAGGCAGCAGUGGGGAAUAUUGCACAAUGGGCGGAAGCCUGAUGCAGCAACGCCGCGUGCGGGAUGACGGCCUUCGGGUUGUAAACCGCUUUCAGCAGGGGCGAAGCUUGUGGUGACGGUACCUGCAGAAGAAGCACCGGCUAACUACGUG